This 330-nucleotide ribosomal RNA is filed under the name uncultured eukaryote. Its description in RNAcentral is "partial 18S ribosomal RNA". It matches the Rfam family "Eukaryotic small subunit ribosomal RNA", at positions 1470 to 1796 of the family's 1831-position model. The record is from RNAcentral.
CCCUUAGAUGUUCGGGGCCGCACGCGCGCUACACUGAAGGAAUCAGCACGUCUUUCUCCUUGUCCGAAAGGAUUGGGUAACCCGCUGAACCUCCUUCGUGCUAGGGAUUGGGGCUUGUAAUUCUUCCCCAUGAACGAGGAAUUCCCAGUAAGCGCGAGUCAUAAGCUCGCGUUGAUUACGUCCCUGCCCUUUGUACACACCGCCCGUCGCUACUACCGAUUGGAUGGUUUAGUGAGAUCCUCGGAUUGGUCCCGGAGCGGCCUCUGGUCGUGCCGGAGUGCCGAAAAGAAUGUCGAACUUGAUCAUCUAGAGGAAGUAAAAGUCGUAACA